Molecule: ribosomal RNA, 592 nt
Filed under: uncultured bacterium
Lineage: Bacteria
Description: bacterial SSU rRNA
Rfam family: Bacterial small subunit ribosomal RNA
Source: RNAcentral
CCUACGGGAGGCAGCAGUGGGGAAUCUUGCGCAAUGGGCGAAAGCCUGACGCAGCCAUGCCGCGUGAAUGAUGAAGGUCUUAGGAUUGUAAAAUUCUUUCACCGGGGACGAUAAUGACGGUACCCGGAGAAGAAGCCCCGGCUAACUUCGUGCCAGCAGCCGCGGUAAUACGAAGGGGGCUAGCGUUGCUCGGAAUUACUGGGCGUAAAGGGAGCGUAGGCGGAUAGUUUAGUCAGAGGUGAAAGCCCAGGGCUCAACCUUGGAAUUGCCUUUGAUACUGGCUAUCUUGAGUAUGGGAGAGGUAUGCGGAACUCCGAGUGUAGAGGUGAAAUUCGUAGAUAUUCGGAAGAACACCAGUGGCGAAGGCGGCAUACUGGCCCAUUACUGACGCUGAGGCUCGAAAGCGUGGGGAGCAAACAGGAUUAGAUACCCUGGUAGUCCACGCUGUAAACGAUGAGUGCUAGUUGUCGGCAUGCAUGCAUGUCGGUGACGCAGCUAACGCAUUAAGCACUCCGCCUGGGGAGUACGGUCGCAAGAUUAAAACUUAAAGGAAUUGACGGCUGAGACGNGCGAGACGACGACGAGGGAGAGG